This 617-nucleotide ribosomal RNA is filed under the name Leuconostoc lactis. RNAcentral's name for it is "bacterial SSU rRNA". It matches the Rfam family "Bacterial small subunit ribosomal RNA", at positions 79 to 681 of the family's 1533-position model. Lineage: Bacteria; Bacillati; Bacillota; Bacilli; Lactobacillales; Lactobacillaceae. The record is from RNAcentral.
CUUGCACCUUUCAAGCGAGUGGCGAACGGGUGAGUAACACGUGGAUAACCUGCCUCAAGGCUGGGGAUAACAUUUGGAAACAGAUGCUAAUACCGAAUAAAACUUAGUAUCGCAUGAUACAAAGUUGAAAGGCGCUACGGCGUCACCUAGAGAUGGGUCCGCGGUGCAUUAGUUAGUUGGUGGGGUAAAGGCCUACCAAGACAAUGAUGCAUAGCCGAGUUGAGAGACUGAUCGGCCACAUUGGGACUGAGACACGGCCCAAACUCCUACGGGAGGCUGCAGUAGGGAAUCUUCCACAAUGGGCGAAAGCCUGAUGGAGCAACGCCGCGUGUGUGAUGAAGGCUUUAGGGUCGUAAAGCACUGUUGUAUGGGAAGAAAUGCUAGAAUAGGGAAUGAUUCUAGUUCGACGGUACCAUACCAGAAAGGGACGGCUAAAUACGUGCCAGCAGCCGCGGUAAUACGUAUGUCCCGAGCGUUAUCCGGAUUUAUUGGGCGUAAAGCGAGCGCAGACGGUUGAUUAAGUCUGAUGUGAAAGCCCGGAGCUCAACUCCGGAAUGGCAUUGGAAACUGGUUAACUUGAGUGUUGUAGAGGUAAGUGGAACUCCUGGGUGAAACGG